UACGUAGGGGGCAAGCGUUGUCCGGAAUUAUUGGGCGUAAAGCGCGCGCAGGCGGUUUUUUAAGUCUAGUGGAUAAUCCACGGGCUCAACCCGUGUUCGCACUGGAAACUGGGAGACUGGAGUGUAGGAGAGGAAAGUGGAAUUCCACGUGUAGCGGUGAAAUGCGUAGAGAUGUGGAGGAACACCAGUGGCGAAGGCGGCUAUCUGGACCGACAUUGACGCUGAGGCGCGAAAGCGUGGGGAGCAAACAGG
Molecule: ribosomal RNA, 252 nt
Filed under: uncultured bacterium
Lineage: Bacteria
Description: partial 16S ribosomal RNA
Rfam family: Bacterial small subunit ribosomal RNA
Source: RNAcentral